Molecule: non-coding RNA, 24 nt
Filed under: Cricetulus griseus (Chinese hamster)
Lineage: Eukaryota; Metazoa; Chordata; Mammalia; Rodentia; Cricetidae
Source: RNAcentral
CUCUGUCCCAGCUCUCCCUGCACA